GUGAAGGGAGCGCGCCGGCUGUUGGGUCCCCAGCGCCCGCCCGGUGCGCCCGGCGGGCUGCUCGCGGGGCGCCGCCAGCGCCCUUCGUGAGGAAGGGAGGCGGCGUGGGUCUCCUCGACAGGCGCGUGCUUUGUGCCGCGCUGCCUGCACGCAGUUCGUAAGCGUUCGGGGACGUCCAGUGUGGUGCGGGGCUUAUCGACAAGGCAAAGGCCGCGGUGAGGUGACGAAGACGUGUCAUACGUUGCCAGACAUCCAGUGUGAGCGGGGCCCUGGUCUCUGGAAGGGCUGACCCUGCCACAGAACUGGAAGUAGGAUGCCUAAAUUGGUCCUCUCUAAGGGACUCCUGCGGGCUUUCCCCCACAAGCACUUAGGCAGUGAAGUAAUUUCACUUACAUGGGUAUGAAAAUUAGUGCCUCAUUUUUAAAACUAAACAGUGAAGAAGCGAUGAAUGGCUGCCUUUCUAAGUAAGCCUGGAAAACACACAAACCGAGUAGACCCAAGUGGCGAUGUAGCAUCAUUUCAGGACAUGAUGUCAUUACUGUAUUCUUCUACAUGCUGCCCAGAUCUGCAGUCACAUGCCUCUUCUGGAUGUUGUCCAAAAUGUAAACAAAGGUACAGGACUCCAUCAUGAACUCUCAACAGUUGACUCUGGGCAGCAAGGUGGGGAAAAGAGUGACAGUAUCUCCUCAGGAAGAAAGUGCUGUAUGUAUUGCACAGCUCUUCAGUGAACAAAGAUGCAAUAGGAUCAAGUAUCUAAUGGAUGAAACAAGAAACUCUCUGAAACAAAUUCCCUGUGGCAGUAAUCAUUAUCCCAUCUCUCAGUGUCUUCUGACUGAGACUGGAUGCCAUUCUGGAAGGUAUGUUUUACUAAAAACACAAGCUGUACUUCAGUCAAACCAACAGGAUUGGGGCUUUAAUCAAAAAUACGUGAAUAAACUUGAAUUGCCAGUACUGUACAGGAUGUUGGACUAGAUGAUGUGAUCAUAAACUGCAUGGACGUUUGUGUUUUUUUGGUGUUUGCUUUCAAGGUGGAUGUUUCUGUACCCAAAAGCUCAGUUUCCACAGUGUGGAAGUCUAGCUAACCCAGGCGGAACCUACAUCAGGCUCUGUGCAGUGGGGCAAUGGAACGAAAGUGUCUGUAGCUACAGCAGUUUAUCUCCUCCUACCUCAUGCACUAUUUUCAGCCUGUACCUUUAUAUUUGUAUAUGCAUUUUCGCUUUUAGCUUCCCCUCAUUGCAAUAUGGAGUCCCCUCCAGCUCUCUAACUCCACCCCCAAGAGAAAAUUUCCUUUUCUUCGUGCAAGGAAAAUGAAACAGCAAGAGGCAGUUUCAAAUAAGCCUCAAUGGCGCACACGCACAGAAAAUGGAACAUAAGACUCAGAGAAUGGUAAAUUCUGUAUAAAAAAAAUGAAUUUCAUGGCCACUAGGGAAAAUGCCGUACUCACAAAGCUGCAGAACGUUGGAUCUGUGAUACCCUGUGGAGAAGAACAAGAGUUAGUAACCGCUGCCUGUGAAAGCUGGCUGUUCGCUCCAAAACACGUCAGUACUUCGAAGCAUGCCAGUAUGGCUCCUUGGUGGCAGAUGUAAUUGCCCACGAAGAGUUUCUCAAGUCCAGGCAGCCAGGUGUGCCUGCCUUGACCAUCAAUUCCUAAUGCUACUGUGAGGU
This is a long non-coding RNA of Cygnus atratus (black swan), 1665 nucleotides long. RefSeq lists it as uncharacterized. The transcript has 4 exons. The record is from RefSeq and is a predicted model, not a curated record. NCBI's taxonomy places the organism in Eukaryota, Metazoa, Chordata, Aves, Anseriformes, Anatidae.